RNAcentral lists this ribosomal RNA (500 nucleotides) under uncultured bacterium. RNAcentral describes it as "bacterial SSU rRNA". It matches the Rfam family "Bacterial small subunit ribosomal RNA", at positions 10 to 536 of the family's 1533-position model. The record is from RNAcentral.
AGUUUGAUCAUGGCUCAGAGCGAACGCUGGCGGCAGGCUUAACACAUGCAAGUCGAGCGGGCGUAGCAAUACGUCAGCGGCAGACGGGAGAGUAACACGUGGGAAUGCGCCCUUCGGUUCGGAAUAACUCAGGGAAACUUGAGCUAAUACCGGAUACGCCCUAACGGGGAAAGAUUUAUUGCCGAAGGAACGGCCCGCGUCGGAUUAGCUAGUUGGUGAGGUAAUGGCUCACCAAGGCGACGAUCCGUAGCUGGUCUGAGAGGAUGACCAGCCUCACUGGGACUGAGACACGGCCCAGACUCCUACGGGAGGCAGCAGUGGGGAAUCUUGCGCAAUGGCCUAACGGCUGACGCAGCGACGCCGCGUGUGGGAUGAAGCUCCUCGGAGUGUAAACCACUGUUGCCCGGGACGAAUAGCUCGAUUAAUCGAGCCUGACGGUACCGGGUGAGGAAGCACCGGCUAACUCCGUGCCAGCAGCCGCGGUAGUCGGCCCAAUCGCC